GACGAACGCUGGCGGCGUGCUUAACACAUGCAAGUCGAACGGAAAGGCCCUGCUUUUGUGGGUUUCUCGAGUGGCGCACGCGUGAGUAACACGUGAGUAACCUGCCCUUGUCUUUGUGAUAACUUCAGGAAACUGGGGCUAAUACCGGAUAGGAUCUCCUGCUGCAUGGUGUGGGUUGGAAAGUUUCGGCGGUUGUGGAUGGACUCGCGGCUUAUCAGCUUGUUGGUGGGGUAGUGGCUUACCAAGGCUUUGACGGGUAGCCGGCCUGAGAGGGUGAACGGCGACAUUGGGACUGAGAGACGGCGCAGAAGGCUACGGGAGGCAGUAGGGGGGAAUAUUGCAGAAUGGGCGGAAGCGUGAUGCAGCAGCGCCGCGUGCGGGAUGACGGCCUUCGGGUUGUAAACCGAUUUCGAAGGUGACGAAGAGGGAGUGACGGUAAUGGGUAAAGAAGCAACGGCUAACUACGUG
RNAcentral lists this ribosomal RNA (468 nucleotides) under uncultured bacterium. RNAcentral's name for it is "partial 16S ribosomal RNA". It matches the Rfam family "Bacterial small subunit ribosomal RNA", at positions 28 to 507 of the family's 1533-position model. The record is from RNAcentral.